UCGAGCGGACUUGAAGAGAAGCUUGCUUCUCNGAUGGUUAGCGGCGGACGGGUGAGUAACACGUAGGCAACCUGCCCUCAAGCUUGGGACAACUACCGGAAACGGUAGCUAAUACCGAAUACUUGUUUUCUUCGCCUGAAGNNAACUGGAAAGACGGAGCAAUCUGUCACUUGGGGAUGGGCCUGCGGCGCAUUAGCUAGUUGGUGAGGUAACGGCUCACCAAGGCGACGAUGCGUAGCCGACCUGAGAGGGUGAUCGGCCACACUGGGACUGAGACACGGCCCAGACUCCUACGGGAGGCAGCAGUAGGGAAUCUUCCGCAAUGGGCGAAAGCCUGACGGAGCAAUGCCGCGUGAGUGAUGAAGGUUUUCGGAUCGUAAAGCUCUGUUGCCAGGGAAGAACGCUUGNGAGAGUAACUGCUCUCAAGGUGACGGUACCUGAGAAGAAAGCCCCGGCUAACUACGUGCCAGCAGCCGCGGUAAUACGUAGGGGGCAAGCGUUGUCCGGAAUUAUUGGGCGUAAAGCGCGCGCAGGCGGUCAUGUAAGUCUGGUGUUUAAUCCCGGGGCUCAACCCCGGAUCGCACUGGAAACUGUGUGACUUGAGUGCAGAAGAGGAGAGUGGAAUUCCACGUGUAGCG
RNAcentral lists this ribosomal RNA (638 nucleotides) under Paenibacillus barcinonensis. Its description in RNAcentral is "bacterial SSU rRNA". It matches the Rfam family "Bacterial small subunit ribosomal RNA", at positions 62 to 680 of the family's 1533-position model. Lineage: Bacteria; Bacillati; Bacillota; Bacilli; Caryophanales; Paenibacillaceae. The record is from RNAcentral.